CGUUUAUCUCAGGGCGGGGUGUAAGUCCCCACCGGCGGUAACAUCAGUCAAUGAUCUUGCUAUCAUUUGAGCUGGUGAAGCCCGCGAGCGCUUUAUAGUGGUGUUUAGACAAUUCAUUAUAAAGGUCAGCAGAUCCAGUGAAAUCCUGGAGCCGACGGUUAUAGUCCGGAUGGGAGAGAAUAACA
Moellerella wisconsensis ATCC 35017 is the source of this 185-nucleotide regulatory RNA element. It matches the Rfam family "FMN riboswitch aptamer (RFN element)". Rfam says of the family: The RFN element is a highly conserved domain that is found frequently in the 5'-untranslated regions of prokaryotic mRNAs that encode for flavin mononucleotide (FMN) biosynthesis and transport proteins. The record is from Rfam. NCBI's taxonomy places the organism in Bacteria, Pseudomonadati, Pseudomonadota, Gammaproteobacteria, Enterobacterales, Morganellaceae.